GACUGGCUCAUUUCAAUGCAUGUGCAAUGAAGGAUUUUAUAGCAGUGGACAAAAUUGCAGUUUUACGACAGCUUGUGUUGAGUGUCAUAAAAAUGCAUCAUGCAUAGCAAACAAGACUGGUGCCUUUCAAUGCAAGUGCAACGAAGGCUUCUCCGGCAAUGGAAAAAAUUGUACAUAUGACACAGAUUUAAUCCAAUCUGAAGUAAAUUGCUCUAAUAUCACGACGGGAAAGUCAUUAUGCCAUGCAAAUGCUA
Molecule: long non-coding RNA, 254 nt
Organism: Xenia sp. Carnegie-2017
Lineage: Eukaryota; Metazoa; Cnidaria; Anthozoa; Malacalcyonacea; Xeniidae
Exons: 3
Source: RefSeq, a predicted model, not a curated record